RNAcentral lists this ribosomal RNA (2925 nucleotides) under Shigella sonnei. RNAcentral's name for it is "23S ribosomal RNA". It matches the Rfam family "Bacterial large subunit ribosomal RNA". Lineage: Bacteria; Pseudomonadati; Pseudomonadota; Gammaproteobacteria; Enterobacterales; Enterobacteriaceae. The record is from RNAcentral.
GGGUUGUGAGGUUAAGCGACUAAGCGUACACGGUGGAUGCCCUGGCAGUCAGAGGCGAUGAAGGACGUGCUAAUCUGCGAUAAGCGUCGGUAAGGUGAUAUGAACCGUUAUAACCGGCGAUUUCCGAAUGGGGAAACCCAGUGUGUUUCGACACACUAUCAUUAACUGAAUCCAUAGGUUAAUGAGGCGAACCGGGGGAACUGAAACAUCUAAGUACCCCGAGGAAAAGAAAUCAACCGAGAUUCCCCCAGUAGCGGCGAGCGAACGGGGAGGAGCCCAGAGCCUGAAUCAGUGUGUGUGUUAGUGGAAGCGUCUGGAAAGGCGCGCGAUACAGGGUGACAGCCCCGUACACAAAAAUACACAUAUUGUGAGCUCGAUGAGUAGGGCGGGACACGUGGUAUCCUGUCUGAAUAUGGGGGGACCAUCCUCCAAGGCUAAAUACUCCUGACUGACCGAUAGUGAACCAGUACCGUGAGGGAAAGGCGAAAAGAACCCCGGCGAGGGGAGUGAAAAAGAACCUGAAACCGUGUACGUACAAGCAGUGGGAGCACGCUUAGGCGUGUGACUGCGUACCUUUUGUAUAAUGGGUCAGCGACUUAUAUUCUGUAGCAAGGUUAACCGAAUAGGGGAGCCGAAGGGAAACCGAGUCUUAACUGGGCGUUAAGUUGCAGGGUAUAGACCCGAAACCCGGUGAUCUAGCCAUGGGCAGGUUGAAGGUUGGGUAACACUAACUGGAGGACCGAACCGACUAAUGUUGAAAAAUUAGCGGAUGACUUGUGGCUGGGGGUGAAAGGCCAAUCAAACCGGGAGAUAGCUGGUUCUCCCCGAAAGCUAUUUAGGUAGCGCCUCGUGAAUUCAUCUCCGGGGGUAGAGCACUGUUUCGGCAAGGGGGUCAUCCCGACUUACCAACCCGAUGCAAACUGCGAAUACCGGAGAAUGUUAUCACGGGAGACACACGGCGGGUGCUAACGUCCGUCGUGAAGAGGGAAACAACCCAGACCGCCAGCUAAGGUCCCAAAGUCAUGGUUAAGUGGGAAACGAUGUGGGAAGGCCCAGACAGCCAGGAUGUUGGCUUAGAAGCAGCCAUCAUUUAAAGAAAGCGUAAUAGCUCACUGGUCGAGUCGGCCUGCGCGGAAGAUGUAACGGGGCUAAACCAUGCACCGAAGCUGCGGCAGCGACGCUUAUGCGUUGUUGGGUAGGGGAGCGUUCUGUAAGCCUGCGAAGGUGUGCUGUGAGGCAUGCUGGAGGUAUCAGAAGUGCGAAUGCUGACAUAAGUAACGAUAAAGCGGGUGAAAAGCCCGCUCGCCGGAAGACCAAGGGUUCCUGUCCAACGUUAAUCGGGGCAGGGUGAGUCGACCCCUAAGGCGAGGCCGAAAGGCGUAGUCGAUGGGAAACAGGUUAAUAUUCCUGUACUUGGUAUUACUGCGAAGGGGGGACGGAGAAGGCUAUGUUGGCCGGGCGACGGUUGUCCCGGUUUAAGCGUGUAGGCUGGUUUUCCAGGCAAAUCCGGAAAAUCAAGGCUGAGGCGUGAUGACGAGGCACUACGGUGCUGAAGCAACAAAUGCCCUGCUUCCAGGAAAAGCCUCUAAGCAUCAGGUAACAUCAAAUCGUACCCCAAACCGACACAGGUGGUCAGGUAGAGAAUACCAAGGCGCUUGAGAGAACUCGGGUGAAGGAACUAGGCAAAAUGGUGCCGUAACUUCGGGAGAAGGCACGCUGAUAUGUAGGUGAAGUCCCUUGCGGAUGGAGCUGAAAUCAGUCGAAGAUACCAGCUGGCUGCAACUGUUUAUUAAAAACACAGCACUGUGCAAACACGAAAGUGGACGUAUACGGUGUGACGCCUGCCCGGUGCCGGAAGGUUAAUUGAUGGGGUCAGCGCAAGCGAAGCUCUUGAUCGAAGCCCCGGUAAACGGCGGCCGUAACUAUAACGGUCCUAAGGUAGCGAAAUUCCUUGUCGGGUAAGUUCCGACCUGCACGAAUGGCGUAAUGAUGGCCAGGCUGUCUCCACCCGAGACUCAGUGAAAUUGAACUCGCUGUGAAGAUGCAGUGUACCCGCGGCAAGACGGAAAGACCCCGUGAACCUUUACUAUAGCUUGACACUGAACAUUGAGCCUUGAUGUGUAGGAUAGGUGGGAGGCUUUGAAGUGUGGACGCCAGUCUGCAUGGAGCCGGCCUUGAAAUACCACCCUUUAAUGUUUGAUGUUCUAACGUGGACCCGUGAUCCGGGUUGCGGACAGUGUCUGGUGGGUAGUUUGACUGGGGCGGUCUCCUCCUAAAGAGUAACGGAGGAGCACGAAGGUUGGCUAAUCCUGGUCGGACAUCAGGAGGUUAGUGCAAUGGCAUAAGCCAGCUUGACUGCGAGCGUGACGGCGCGAGCAGGUGCGAAAGCAGGUCAUAGUGAUCCGGUGGUUCUGAAUGGAAGGGCCAUCGCUCAACGGAUAAAAGGUACUCCGGGGAUAACAGGCUGAUACCGCCCAAGAGUUCAUAUCGACGGCGGUGUUUGGCACCUCGAUGUCGGCUCAUCACAUCCUGGGGCUGAAGUAGGUCCCAAGGGUAUGGCUGUUCGCCAUUUAAAGUGGUACGCGAGCUGGGUUUAGAACGUCGUGAGACAGUUCGGUCCCUAUCUGCCGUGGGCGCUGGAGAACUGAGGGGGGCUGCUCCUAGUACGAGAGGACCGGAGUGGACGCAUCACUGGUGUUCGGGUUGUCAUGCCAAUGGCACUGCCCGGUAGCUAAAUGCGGAAGAGAUAAGUGCUGAAAGCAUCUAAGCACGAAACUUGCCCCGAGAUGAGUUCUCCCUGACCCUUUAAGGGUCCUGAAGGAACGUUGAAGACGACGACGUUGAUAGGCCGGGUGUGUAAGCGCAGCGAUGCGUUGAGCUAACCGGUACUAAUGAACCGUGAGGCUUAACCUUACAACGCCGAAG